AUUGAACGCUGGCGGCAGGCCUAACACAUGCAAGUCGAACGGUAACAGAAAGCAGCUUGCUGCUUUGCUGACGAGUGGCGGACGGGUGAGUAAUGUCUGGGAAACUGCCUGAUGGAGGGGGAUAACUACUGGAAACGGUAGCUAAUACCGCAUAACGUCGCAAGACCAAAGAGGGGGACCUUCGGGCCUCUUGCCAUCGGAUGUGCCCAGAUGGGAUUAGCUAGUAGGUGGGGUAACGGCUCACCUAGGCGACGAUCCCUAGCUGGUCUGAGAGGAUGACCAGACACACUGGAACUGAGACACGGUCCAGACUCCUACGGGAGGCAGCAGUGGGGAAUAUUGCACAAUGGGCGCAAGCCUGAUGCAGCCAUGCCGCGUGUAUGAAGAAGGCCUUCGGGUUGUAAAGUACUUUCAGCGGGGAGGAAGGGAGUAAAGUUAAUACCUUUGCUCAUUGACGUUACCCGCAGAAGAAGCACCGGCUAACUCCGUG
RNAcentral lists this ribosomal RNA (490 nucleotides) under uncultured bacterium. RNAcentral's name for it is "partial 16S ribosomal RNA". It matches the Rfam family "Bacterial small subunit ribosomal RNA", at positions 30 to 507 of the family's 1533-position model. The record is from RNAcentral.